Molecule: ribosomal RNA, 250 nt
Filed under: uncultured bacterium
Lineage: Bacteria
Description: partial 16S ribosomal RNA
Rfam family: Bacterial small subunit ribosomal RNA
Source: RNAcentral
CUACCACGCGAGUGGAUGCCAAUCCCCAAAACCUCUCUCAGUUCGGACUGGAGUCUGCAACCCGACUCCACGAAGCUGGAUUCGCUAGUAAUCGCAGAUCAGAAUGCUGCGGUGAAUACGUUCCCGGGUCUUGUACACACCGCCCGUCACACCAUGGGAGUUGGAAAUGCCCGAAGCCGGUGACCCAACCAAAAGGAGGGAGCCGUCGAAGGCAGGUCUGAUAACUGGGGUGAAGUCGUAACAAGGUACC